RNAcentral lists this ribosomal RNA (254 nucleotides) under uncultured bacterium. Its description in RNAcentral is "partial 16S ribosomal RNA". It matches the Rfam family "Bacterial small subunit ribosomal RNA", at positions 524 to 776 of the family's 1533-position model. The record is from RNAcentral. RNAcentral also lists the same sequence under 2 other names.
UACAGAGGGUGCGAGCGUUGUCCGGAAUCACUGGGCGUAAAGGGCGCGUAGGUGGUGGCUUAAGCGUGCGGUGAAAGCUCGGAGCUCAACUCCGAGUCGGCCGUGCGAACUGGGCUCACUGGAGCAUAGUAGAGGCAGGUGGAAUUCCGGGUGUAGCGGUGGAAUGCGUAGAGAUCCGGAAGAACACCGGUGGCGAAGGCGGCCUGCUGGGCUAUGGCUGACACUGAGGCGCGACAGCGUGGGGAGCAAACAGG